Molecule: long non-coding RNA, 2586 nt
Organism: Passer domesticus (house sparrow)
Lineage: Eukaryota; Metazoa; Chordata; Aves; Passeriformes; Passeridae
Exons: 3
Source: RefSeq, a predicted model, not a curated record
UGGUCUGUUCAGCCUGAGGGGACAGAGAGGAGACCUCAGUGCAGAUACAGCUGCCUCGUGAGGGGAAGAGGAGGGACAGACACUGAUCUCUGCUCUCUGGUGACACUGACAGGACCCAAGGAAUGGCCUGAAGCUGUGCCAGGGGAGGUUCAGACUCGGCAUAAGUUCGGCAGUGUUCCAGUCCCUGAGAAAUACUCUGAAGUCUGCAGAUAGCAAAUCAUUAACAUUUUGAAGACUCAGUAAAAAUGGAAUCGGAAGAUUUAUCUGCUGAAAAUUGGUCAAUCUAGUCCACAUCCUGACUCUGGAAGUUGUCCAAGCACCUGAUGUUUGAAGAGCAAAUUUUCUGCAAGACACUGAGAGGAGAUACAGAAGUGCAGAAGGAAAAGAAAUUGGGGAAAAAGGAGAGCAUCUCAUUUCUUUCAACUCUAGGAAUCCUGUAAGUGGCCUUGAGGUAACGUCAGAGGAAGAGUCAAAGCAAGGAAAACGUUCUCCUGCACAAACCUGCCUUUCUGGGUAUUCUCUGAGUAAAGAACCGAGCCAAGAUUAAUAUCUAAAUUGCUUUUCUCUUUUGAGAUUCCAGAGAUGUGAUACACCAAUAAGCUUUUUAAGGUGCCAGCCCAAAAGCAGUCACAUCUUUCAUGAUAAGCACAUCCCUCAAAGAACAAAGCAAGCAUCAGCUCUUUUUUAUGUAUUAUGAAAUAUUAUAACCUAGAAGAUCCUUUUGUCAGUACCAGUGUAAACAGAGACCUUCCUUUGCUGUUUGCUCCUCUGUUUCAGAGCUUGAAGAGAUACACAAAUCACUUCCUUUCCUUCAUAAAUCAGAGGUGCCAAAUCUUGUGUCUUUAUACAACAAAUUUAUCCAGACAUUUAGCAGCACUGUUCCAGGAAAAAAAAAAUCUGAUUUUACUAAUGAAGUCAUUAACAACUGUACUUUGUGUGCAGGCUUCAAAACCUCUCUGUGAAGAUCCAAGUACAGAAAAGACUGAGCAACACAUAAAAGAACAGUAAACCUUGAAUUUUUCCACCAAGAGGUCCAGCAGCCCUCAAAAGAGCAGUGGUUACCAGGUGUUAACAGGAGCACAGCAGGCCAGGGGCAGAAAAAGGAAUAAUGUGCUCUGUAUCCAUCUCAGUGCCACCAGCUAAAAAACUAAACCAAACUAAAAAAAACAAACAAAACAAGCAACAAAAAAAACUCAAAGCUAACCAAAAACCCAAAACCAAAAAACAAAAUCAACCCAAAAAAAACCCCAAAAACCCCCAGAAACCCCCCCCCUCAAAAACACAUUUUUGAAGCAUAGUCCCUCAAAAAAAAAAGGUGGAAGAAGUUGCUUUACUUGGAAGGAGGAAGAAAUGCUGAGAAAACAGUUCUAUAUCCUUUAGUGAAUCAGAAAAAAGAGGACAGCUUGGUUUUGACCAGAACUGCUUUUCUGCUAACUUCCCUCAUUUCUGCAGGGUUAUCACAGAGGUGACUUCUAAACAGCAAUUUCUCUUACAUAAUUACUUACUAAGUAUCUAUCCAUUGCCAAAGAAGUUAUCAUCUAAGGCAGAGUUAUAAUCUAAUCUAAUAAACAGGAAAACAUCACAGAGAAAGUGAGGCAAAUCAUAUGAAACCAGAAAUUAUGAAAGAAUAUGCUUUGAUGAUGAACUAACCAGCUUUCUGAAGUUACAAUAUUUACAUAUGAAAAGAGGAUUGCACAAAGUUCCCGAAAUUCAAACAUUAUAAGCUCUGAUGUUCUAUCCACCUCCCAUUAGAACUAAUUGAAGGAUGGGUGUUUUUGCCCUGAGGCAUUGGAUGGGAGAUAAAAGGAAAGGUGAAGUAGAGAUGAGGCUACCAUGGUUAUGGUAGUGAAAAUAAUGCCAACAUGCAGCAGACAGGGACAGCCAGUGUGAACACUCAAUUACAGAGAGCAGCUCUCAGUGCCAAGGCACAUCACCACCCUGCCCUGGGACGAGGAACUGGAUUCUAUAGAGGCCAUUUAUCUUAAAAAUUAAAUAAACAGAUUUGGGGAAAUGAUGAAGGCAAUCAGAAUGCCCACUGAGAAACUUUGCAAUCAAUGAUCCAUUCUUCAGACCUCAGUAGCUUUAAGCUGAUACGUUUUUAUGCCAGACUAACUGAGACAGGUUUGGAGAACUGAUGGUUCAGACCUCCAGGAUUUCUUCAGAAAAUCUCACACUACCACCAAAACCCCACAGCCAAUUCUUUGUGUGCCUCCUGACAUAAAAAAACACACUUUCUGCUAAAAGGGCUCAGCUAACUCUAGCAUUUGUUUCCACUCAUUUUAUCCUACUCUUUGCCACACACCUUGGAGAAGGAUAUGGAACAUUUUUCACAAACUUUCAUACACUUGCAGAUCAGUGGGUUAAUAUAUCAGCCUUUCACCUUUGGAAACCACAGUUCAACAGUCUGAAUUACUAUGGUAAUAAACGUGGUAUUGUUUUGGUUCAAUACAGACUUGUGUUUGAAGAACUGUAACAAAAUAUUUUUAUAACCUUGUGGAAAAGAUAAGAAGUUGGCAAUUCUCUUUUAUGCCACAGAUUUCAUCUGUAAUCUCAAGCAAGCUAAUUAAACCCAGUCUUUGAAAAUAA